GACGAAAUAGUUCAAUUGGUUAGAACAUUGGAAUCAUAAUCCAAAAGCUAUAGGUUCGAAUCCUAUUUUCGUCA
This 74-nucleotide transfer RNA is filed under the name Chondrus crispus (carragheen). Its description in RNAcentral is "tRNA-Met, elongator". It matches the Rfam family "tRNA". Rfam says of the family: Transfer RNA (tRNA) molecules are approximately 80 nucleotides in length. Their secondary structure includes four short double-helical elements and three loops (D, anti-codon, and T loops). The record is from RNAcentral. Lineage: Eukaryota; Rhodophyta; Florideophyceae; Gigartinales; Gigartinaceae.